RNAcentral lists this ribosomal RNA (1257 nucleotides) under Flavobacterium sp. EP223. RNAcentral describes it as "bacterial SSU rRNA". It matches the Rfam family "Bacterial small subunit ribosomal RNA", at positions 64 to 1331 of the family's 1533-position model. The record is from RNAcentral. Lineage: Bacteria; Pseudomonadati; Bacteroidota; Flavobacteriia; Flavobacteriales; Flavobacteriaceae.
GAGGGGUAUAUGUCUUCGGAUAUAGAGACCGGCGCACGGGUGCGUAACGCGUAUGCAAUCUACCUUUUACAGAGGGAUAGCCCAGAGAAAUUUGGAUUAAUACCUCAUAGUAUAGCUCUACCGCAUGGUAGUACUAUUAAAGUCACAACGGUAAAAGAUGAGCAUGCGUCCCAUUAGCUAGUUGGUAAGGUAACGGCUUACCAAGGCAACGAUGGGUAGGGGUCCUGAGAGGGAGAUCCCCCACACUGGUACUGAGACACGGACCAGACUCCUACGGGAGGCAGCAGUGAGGAAUAUUGGACAAUGGGCGCAAGCCUGAUCCAGCCAUGCCGCGUGCAGGAUGACGGUCCUAUGGAUUGUAAACUGCUUUUGUACGAGAAGAAACACUGCUUCGUGAAGCAGCUUGACGGUAUCGUAAGAAUAAGGAUCGGCUAACUCCGUGCCAGCAGCCGCGGUAAUACGGAGGAUCCAAGCGUUAUCCGGAAUCAUUGGGUUUAAAGGGUCCGUAGGCGGUUUAGUAAGUCAGUGGUGAAAGCCCAUCGCUCAACGGUGGAACGGCCAUUGAUACUGCUGAACUUGAAUUAUUAGGAAGUAACUAGAAUAUGUAGUGUAGCGGUGAAAUGCUUAGAGAUUACAUGGAAUACCAAUUGCGAAGGCAGGUUACUACUAAUUGAUUGACGCUGAUGGACGAAAGCGUGGGGAGCGAACAGGAUUAGAUACCCUGGUAGUCCACGCCGUAAACGAUGGAUACUAGCUGUUGGGAGCAAUCUCAGUGGCUAAGCGAAAGUGAUAAGUAUCCCACCUGGGGAGUACGUUCGCAAGAAUGAAACUCAAAGGAAUUGACGGGGGCCCGCACAAGCGGUGGAGCAUGUGGUUUAAUUCGAUGAUACGCGAGGAACCUUACCAAGGCUUAAAUGUAGAUUGACCGGUUUGGAAACAGAUCUUUCGCAAGACAAUUUACAAGGUGCUGCAUGGUUGUCGUCAGCUCGUGCCGUGAGGUGUCAGGUUAAGUCCUAUAACGAGCGCAACCCCUGUUGUUAGUUGCCAGCGAGUCAUGUCGGGAACUCUAACAAGACUGCCAGUGCAAACUGUGAGGAAGGUGGGGAUGACGUCAAAUCAUCACGGCCCUUACGCCUUGGGCUACACACGUGCUACAAUGGCCGGUACAGAGAGCAGCCACUGGGCGACCAGGAGCGAAUCUAUAAAACCGGUCACAGUUCGGAUCGGAGUCUGCAACUCGACUCCGUGAAGCUGGAA